GACGUAGGGCGCGAGCGUUGUCCGGAUUUAUUGGGCGUAAAGAGCUCGUAGGCGGCUUGUCGCGUCGUCCGUGAAAACCUGCAGCUCAACUGCAGGCUUGCGGUCGAUACGGGCAGGCUGGAGUUCGGUAGGGGAGACUGGAAUUCCUGGUGUAGCGGUGAAAUGCGCAGAUAUCAGGAGGAACACCGGUGGCGAAGGCGAGUCCCUGGACAACUCCUGACGCUGAGGCACGAAAGCUAGGGGAGCAAACAGG
Molecule: ribosomal RNA, 253 nt
Filed under: uncultured bacterium
Lineage: Bacteria
Description: partial 16S ribosomal RNA
Rfam family: Bacterial small subunit ribosomal RNA
Source: RNAcentral